This 264-nucleotide unclassified non-coding RNA is filed under the name Hevea brasiliensis (rubber tree). The record is from RNAcentral. Lineage: Eukaryota; Viridiplantae; Streptophyta; Magnoliopsida; Malpighiales; Euphorbiaceae.
AGGUGCUUCCCUGGUUGAAAGGCUAAGGUGCUUUCUUGGAGGUGUAAUAUUGCUGAAUAUUGUCUGACUCUUGCUUAUCAGAUGAGUUCUAUCUCUUGAAACGGUCUUACUCCCCCAUUUUAAGAAGGUGAUUGGUUCACCUUUUAAAUGCAACUGAUAAUUAAUAUAUAUUUAAAUAGAUAAAUUAGAAUGUUAGUAAAUUUUAAAAAAUAGAGCUGUUGGAUAACUAAUAUAAUACUCAUCCGCUGCAGUUUGUAUUAACUU